AUAUUCUGUUCCUGUUUAACACUUGCUACCUUGUUUUAAAUUCUUCUGACCUGCGUCAGUGCUGCAUAUAGGGUUCUAAAAUAAGGGAACAUAUAGUUCAGUUUGAAGAGUUCAUGAUGAAAACAUAUUCCCGCAGCCACUGCCUCCUCGAUCUACGCUAGCCUGCAGCAGCAAGGUGAAAUGUGGAGUAAGAGGAGACACCAGACCAAGAUGCAAUGAAUAUUU
Molecule: long non-coding RNA, 225 nt
Organism: Triticum aestivum (bread wheat)
Lineage: Eukaryota; Viridiplantae; Streptophyta; Magnoliopsida; Poales; Poaceae
Exons: 3
Source: RefSeq, a predicted model, not a curated record